RNAcentral lists this transfer RNA (76 nucleotides) under Methylophilus sp. Its description in RNAcentral is "tRNA-Met". It matches the Rfam family "tRNA". Rfam says of the family: Transfer RNA (tRNA) molecules are approximately 80 nucleotides in length. Lineage: Bacteria; Pseudomonadati; Pseudomonadota; Betaproteobacteria; Nitrosomonadales; Methylophilaceae. The record is from RNAcentral.
CGCGAGAUGGCGCAAUUGGCAGCGCGUCGGGUUCAUACCCCGAAGGUUGCAGGUUCGAGUCCUGCUCUCGCAACCG